RNAcentral lists this small RNA (722 nucleotides) under Histoplasma capsulatum var. duboisii H88. RNAcentral's name for it is "Histoplasma capsulatum H88 hypothetical RNA". Lineage: Eukaryota; Fungi; Ascomycota; Eurotiomycetes; Onygenales; Ajellomycetaceae. The record is from RNAcentral.
AACACGCUGGGCAAUCAAGAAUCCGAUAAUAAAUCUGCGCAAUCCUAUCACACACCUUCAUAGCCUCAAGGUAUUCUUCCCUGUUUACAGGAAUGGGCUUCCCUUCUUUUAUGAACUUAUCUAUAACAAUUUUGGCGCGUAUAUAUUGCUUCUUCCUGUCGUGCAGCAUUUGAUCCAUCUUUCGCCUCAUCUUGUGAAGAUAGACAAUGCUGUGAGUGGUGGACCUGCGGAGAAGAGAAGGGCGAGAUAAGAGAACAAGCAGGGUGAAAGAAGAAAGUUAAGAGUUGAACAGUUGGUGUCCAAGUCCAGGAGGAAACAGCAGCGGCUCCCCGCAGCGGACUCUGAUUGGCGGGAACAACCCUCGAGCUCCAGCUCCGGCGCGCAUCCCAUCCUGGAAGUUAAAUCUCAGGUUAGAAAAGAUGCCGAACCAUGGAUGCAAGCAAGUGCGCAGAUGGCUGCUUGGAUAUACAAUGAACCAAGUACAGGGGAUAGAUCGAAUUUUCGGCGGUGCAUGAUUAGCCAGGAUCGCCAUGAAAUCUACAUUAUAAUCGCUACAUACACCAAAGAAUAUGUGGCGUAUCUUCAAGGGGACUGGGAUGGGUCCUCGGGUCCUUUUCUCACGAUGCAUCAAAUUGGACCAUUCAUUCCCAAUGCAGAGAGACACAUGGAGCGGUUAGGAAGGAUUAUUGCAGCGUUGAGCAGGCAACUGGUACAUCAAGCAA